CCUACGGGGGGCUGCAGUGAGGAAUAUUGGUCAAUGGGCGCGAGCCUGAACCAGCCAAGUCGCGUGAGGGAGGACGGCCCUACGGGUUGUAAACCUCUUUUGCCGGGGAGCAACGGGCGUCACGUGUGGCGCCACUGAGAGUACCCGAAGAAAAAGCAUCGGCUAACUCCGUGCCAGCAGCCGCGGUAAUACGGAGGAUGCGAGCGUUAUCCGGAUUUAUUGGGUUUAAAGGGUGCGUAGGCGGAACGUUAAGUCAGCGGUCAAAUUGCGGGGCUCAACCCCUUCCCGCCAUUGAAACUGGCGUUCUUGAGUGGAAGAGAAGUAUGCGGAAUGCGUGGUGUAGCGGUGAAAUGCAUAGAUAUCACGCAGAACCCCGAUUGCGAAGGCAGCAUGCCGGCUUCCGACUGACGCUGAAGCACGAAAGCGUGGGGAUCGAACAGGAUUAGAUACCCGUGUAGUC
RNAcentral lists this ribosomal RNA (460 nucleotides) under uncultured bacterium. RNAcentral describes it as "partial 16S ribosomal RNA". It matches the Rfam family "Bacterial small subunit ribosomal RNA", at positions 338 to 795 of the family's 1533-position model. The record is from RNAcentral.